UUGAGGAUUAUUGAGGUUUAAGUGGGUCAAGGUCUCAGAAAGUAGAAUUUUAGGUCUAGUGAGAUUUUUUAAGAUUUCUUGCAAUCUAUUACUUGGAUUGGAGUGAAAUUUGUAUGUGAAAAUAUUAGACUUGUUUUUCUAUAUAUAUGAGAAUUUUGAGAUCAACCGAAUGGUGAAAAGGAGAGAUAUUGGCUUUGGAAGAUUGGCAUUAAGGUCAGAGAAGGAGGCCAACCAAUAUCCAAGUACAUUUUUGAGACUAUCGUCUAUUUGAUAAUUCCGAUCUUUUUCAAAUUUUUGUACUUCUUGUCAACUUAAUUUUUAAAAAGUGUACAAAUUUUGAGUUAAGAUCAAUAGUUCAUUCAUUAGUAAUUGAUGUUUAAAUCUGUUAUAGGAAUUACUAAGGUUUGAUUUAGGAUUUAGGAUUUGAUUAGGAUUUGAUUAGGAUUUGGUUUAGGAUUUGGUUAGGGUUUGGAUUAGGAUUUAGAAUUUGGUUAGGAUUUGAUUUAGAGCUCAAGAUUUGAUUAAGGUUUGAUUUAGGAUUUAGGAUUUGAUUAGGAUUUGAUUUAGGAUUAGGAUUUAGGAUUUGAUUAGGAUUUGAUUUAGGAUUUAGGAUUUAGAAUUUUAUUAGGAUUUAAUUAGGAUUUAAGAUUUAGUUAACUUUUGGCCUAAAAUUUGAAUGAGGUCCAAUAGGAUUUUAACUAGGAUUA
RNAcentral lists this long non-coding RNA (707 nucleotides) under Physcomitrium patens. Its description in RNAcentral is "long non-coding RNA (PPAT_LNC008769)". Lineage: Eukaryota; Viridiplantae; Streptophyta; Bryopsida; Funariales; Funariaceae. The record is from RNAcentral.